AGCAGCCGCGGUAAUUCCAGCUCCAAUAGCGUAUAUUAAAGUUGUUGCAGUUAAAAAGCUCGUAGUUGAAUUUCGGGAUCAAUUUGUCGGUCGUGCCUCGGUACGUACUGGCAUUAUUGGUUUCUACCUUCUGAAGAACCUUGAUGUCAUUAAUUUGGUGUCUUGGGGAAUCAGGACUGUUACUUUGAAAAAAAUUAGAGUGUUUAAAGCAGGCAUACGCUUGAAUACAUUAGCAUGGAAUAAUGAAAUAGGACGUUUGAUUCUAUUUUGUUGGUUUCUAGGAUCGACGUAAUGAUUAAUAGGGAUAGUUGGGGGCAUUAGUAUUCAAUUGUCAGAGGUGAAAUUCUUGGAUUUAUUGAAGACUAACUACUGCGAAAGCAUUUGCCAAGGAUGUUUUCAUUAAUCAAGAACGAAAGUUAGGGGAUCGAAGACGAUCAGAUACCGUCGUAG
Molecule: ribosomal RNA, 450 nt
Filed under: uncultured Glomeromycotina
Lineage: Eukaryota; Fungi; Glomeromycota
Description: SSU rRNA
Rfam family: Eukaryotic small subunit ribosomal RNA
Source: RNAcentral